CCGAGUUAUCAACUCCCAAACCCCUGUGAACAUACCUGAACGUUGCCUCGGCGGGACCGCCCCGGCGCCCAACUCGCGGCCCGGACCCAGGCGCCCGCCGGAGGACCCAAACUCUUGCUUUAAACAGUGGCAUACUCUCUGAGUCUCACAAACAAAAAAUGAAUCA
Molecule: unclassified non-coding RNA, 166 nt
Filed under: uncultured Tolypocladium
Lineage: Eukaryota; Fungi; Ascomycota; Sordariomycetes; Hypocreales; Clavicipitaceae
Description: sequence contains ITS1
Source: RNAcentral